RNAcentral lists this long non-coding RNA (922 nucleotides) under Homo sapiens (human). RNAcentral's name for it is "HSALNT0236727". Lineage: Eukaryota; Metazoa; Chordata; Mammalia; Primates; Hominidae. The record is from RNAcentral.
CGGAUGUGUUUUCACCACCUGAGGUCCGGUGCAGAUGAUCUCUAGGUAGGAGUGGGGUAAACAAUGAUUGAGGAGUGUUGGGGAUGUUGGGGACUGUGAUGUGAGGGGCCUGCUGAGCACACGGCCCAGGCGCGCAGGUUACUGGAUGUGUGGAUGUUCUUAAGGCACGUGAUCUAUAUCCAGGGAUGCUGGGGAGCACAGGUGUGUGUGGGUGACAUGGUACAUAGUUUCAGAGAUGUACUGGGGGUGUGUGUGAUAUGAAAGUACUGGGAAUUGUGAUUGUGGGGUGCUGGAGCACAAGGUCAGUGUACAGGUUGGUUGGGUGAUGAUUUAAUUGUGGAGUAGUUGGGAUUUGCCAUCUGUUUUGGGACUUGAGCACAUGCCGUGGAGGUGCUGGGUAUGUACAGGGUACAUUAGGAGCUCCUGGGUACCAGGCCUAUGUGUAAGGUUGCUGGAAACAUGGACUGUGGGAAGCGUGGUGGCAGCGGAUGGUCUAUACGCAGACGCUGCCAUGUUUUGGAGUGGUAAGAUGGGUGUCAGAAGAGCCAUGCGGGGUGCAGGGGGGUGUUUGUGAGGCUGGUCUGCUGAGAUGGCUGGAAUCCACCUAUUGCACCCUGUUCACACUCUGGAAGGUGUUCUGAUUAGUCUUGGAGUGCUGAGGAUGGAGGGUGGAGAACUGUCCAGAAGGAAUGUGCCAGGGGCUAUGAGCAGUCCUGUAGUGAACAAGAGUUCAUUAAGAACAGAAAUUCAAGAGCCCCAGGGAAGACGGGGGCUGGCUUGGUUUGGUGGUCCAUUCAGGGCAUGAAGGGGAGGGCAAAGGCGUGAGUCAGAAUGCAAGAGUUCCCCCCAACCUUAACAUAGAGGAAGAAGUAUAUAUGUUGAGAGGAGGGGGAGAUUGGGGGCACCAAGAACGCUAAAAGCC